This 274-nucleotide ribosomal RNA is filed under the name uncultured bacterium. Its description in RNAcentral is "partial 16S ribosomal RNA". It matches the Rfam family "Bacterial small subunit ribosomal RNA", at positions 524 to 796 of the family's 1533-position model. The record is from RNAcentral.
CACGUAGGGGGCGAGCGUUGUCCGGAUUUAUUGGGCGUAAAGAGCUCGUAGGCGGCUCACUAAGUCAGGUGUGAAAUUUCGAGGCUUAACCUCGAAACGCCACCCGAUACUGGUGUGGCUAGAGUCCGGUAGGGGAGCGUGGAAUUCCUGGUGUAGCGGUGAAAUGCGCAGAUAUCAGGAGGAACACCAGCGGCGAAGGCGGCGCUCUGGGCCGGUACUGACGCUGAGGAGCGAAAGCGUGGGGAUCAAACAGGAUUAGAAACCCGCGUAGUCC